CGGAGCAUGGUGUCAACGGCUAGCACGUGCGGUUUGGGACCGUAUAGUCUGGGUUCGAAUCCCGGUGCUCCGA
RNAcentral lists this transfer RNA (73 nucleotides) under Candidatus Moraniibacteriota bacterium. RNAcentral's name for it is "tRNA-Pro". It matches the Rfam family "tRNA". Rfam says of the family: Transfer RNA (tRNA) molecules are approximately 80 nucleotides in length. Their secondary structure includes four short double-helical elements and three loops (D, anti-codon, and T loops). Lineage: Bacteria; Candidatus Moraniibacteriota. The record is from RNAcentral.